This 253-nucleotide ribosomal RNA is filed under the name uncultured bacterium. RNAcentral describes it as "partial 16S ribosomal RNA". It matches the Rfam family "Bacterial small subunit ribosomal RNA", at positions 524 to 776 of the family's 1533-position model. The record is from RNAcentral.
UACGUAGGGGGCUAGCGUUAUCCGGAAUUAUUGGGCGUAAAGAGCUCGUAGGCGGUUUGUCGCGUCUGCUGUGAAAACUCGAGGCUCAACCUCGGGCUUGCAGUGGGUACGGGCAGACUAGAGUGCGGUAGGGGUGACUGGAAUUCCUGGUGUAGCGGUGGAAUGCGCAGAUAUCAGGAGGAACACCGAUGGCGAAGGCAGGUCACUGGGCCGCAACUGACGCUGAGGAGCGAAAGCAUGGGGAGCGAACAGG